RNAcentral lists this ribosomal RNA (590 nucleotides) under Trichoderma harzianum. Its description in RNAcentral is "eukaryotic LSU rRNA". The stretch from base 210 to 363 matches the Rfam family "5.8S ribosomal RNA". The record is from RNAcentral. Lineage: Eukaryota; Fungi; Ascomycota; Sordariomycetes; Hypocreales; Hypocreaceae.
GGGAUAUUACCGAGUUUCAACUCCCAAACCCAAUGUGAACGUUACCAAACUGUUGCCUCGGCGGGAUCUCUGCCCCGGGUGCGUCGCAGCCCCGGACCAAGGCGCCCGCCGGAGGACCAACCAAAACUCUUAUUGUAUACCCCCUCGCGGGAUUUUUUAUAAUCUGAGCCUUCUCGGCGCCUCUCGUAGGCGUUUCGAAAAUGAAUCAAAACUUUCAACAACGGAUCUCUUGGUUCUGGCAUCGAUGAAGAACGCAGCGAAAUGCGAUAAGUAAUGUGAAUUGCAGAAUUCAGUGAAUCAUCGAAUCUUUGAACGCACAUUGCGCCCGCCAGUAUUCUGGCGGGCAUGCCUGUCCGAGCGUCAUUUCAACCCUCGAACCCCUCCGGGGGGUCGGCGUUGGGGAUCGGCCCUCCCUUAGCGGGGUGGCCGUCUCCGAAAUACAGUGGCGGUCUCGCCGCAGCCUCUCCUGCGCAGUAGUUUGCACACUCGCAUCGGGAGCGCGGCGCGUCCACAGCCGUUAAACACCCAACUUCUGAAAUGUUGACCUCGGAUCAGGUAGGAAUACCCGCUGAACUUAAGCAUAUCAAUAA